This 83-nucleotide transfer RNA is filed under the name Erysiphe necator (grape powdery mildew). It matches the Rfam family "tRNA". From Rfam's summary of the family: Transfer RNA (tRNA) molecules are approximately 80 nucleotides in length. Their secondary structure includes four short double-helical elements and three loops (D, anti-codon, and T loops). The record is from Rfam by way of RNAcentral. Lineage: Eukaryota; Fungi; Ascomycota; Leotiomycetes; Helotiales; Erysiphaceae.
GGCCUGAUAGUUCAGUGGUAGAAUUCUUGCUUUGGGCAAUUUCUAAAUGUAAGAGGUCUCCGGUUCAAUCCCGGAUUAGGCCC